RNAcentral lists this ribosomal RNA (501 nucleotides) under Clostridioides difficile. RNAcentral's name for it is "bacterial LSU rRNA". It matches the Rfam family "Bacterial large subunit ribosomal RNA", at positions 353 to 856 of the family's 2925-position model. The record is from RNAcentral. Lineage: Bacteria; Bacillati; Bacillota; Clostridia; Peptostreptococcales; Peptostreptococcaceae.
CACCACAGAAGGUAAUAGUCCUGUAUGUUAAACGAGAAGACUUUAGAUAUGAUCCAGAGUACCACGGGACACGUGAAACCCUGUGGGAAGCAGGAGGGACCACCCUCCAAGGCUAAAUACUACCUAGUGACCGAUAGCGUAUAGUACCGUGAGGGAAAGGUGAAAAGAACCCCGGGAGGGGAGUGAAAUAGAACCUGAAACCCUGCACUUACAAGCUGUGGAAGCACAUUUCUUGUGUGACCGCGUACUUUUUGUAGAACGGGCCAACGAGUUACGUUAAGUAGCAAGGUUAAGCACUUAAGGUGCGGAGCCGUAGCGAAAGCGAGUUUUAACUGAGCGUUCAGUUACUUGACGUAGACCCGAAACCGGGCGAUCUACCCAUGAGCAGGAUGAAGCGAAAGUAAAAUUUCGUGGAGGUCCGAACCCACGAGCGUUGAAAAGCUCGGGGAUGACUUGUGGGUAGCGGUGAAAUUCCAAUCGAGCCCGGAGAUAGCUGGUUCU